Long non-coding RNA from Alexandromys fortis (reed vole), 2504 nucleotides. RefSeq lists it as uncharacterized. Lineage: Eukaryota; Metazoa; Chordata; Mammalia; Rodentia; Cricetidae. The record is from RefSeq and is a predicted model, not a curated record. The transcript is spliced from 3 exons.
ACUGUGAGUCUUCUGAUCUUGUUAUCGUGUCUGUUCUUGGGCCACUUCUGUGGCUGGAAAGACAGAACACGCUGGUUUGUCCAGUGACCAUGCUUGAAGUGGUUUUCCAAAGCCAGAGCAUUGCCAGAGAAUUGACUGAGAAAGACAAGGCUGCAGGCAAUAUUUUCCAUUCCGCCUUAAUUGGUCCAGGAGGAUAAUUCACCACGGCCUCGUCAAUAAUCCCAGGACUACGGAGAAAGUCAGUGUGGGACUCUAUGGCUGUAAGUGAAUCAUGGCUGAUUUGGUAAGACGACUGUCACCAAGACGGCUGACCUGAGGUUCGGUUCCUGGGACUUACAUGUUGGAAGGAGAGUGGACUCCUGUGAGUAGCCCUCUGACUGCCAUAUGCUGGUACCAACCCCCACCCAAGAUAAAUACUUUUUAAAAAGAAAAGUCCGCUGGGAAAAGCACUGUGACUCCUGGGCUGGGAGCAGGGCCCCACUCCACUCCAAGUUGCUUCGGGGCUUAUGGACUGAAAAACACCACCAGUUCUGGCCUCCCUGCCCCUCUCCUCCUCCUCUUUAUUUUACCUUUGUGUGAACCAAUGAGUUUACCGGGGUUACUUCAGGAACAUGGAUAAGAGAUUGCUUACAAAAAGAUGGGUGACCCCAAAACUGCUGCAUUGCUAUGAAGUCCUGCACCCUCACAGAUAGUGGCCUUGUGGGGGCUGCGUCAGUUAAAUUUCCUUCUGCUUUUAUGCUAAUAUAGCCAACAACUGAGAAGUGUAGAAAAAUAAUCACCCAGUUCCUUCUAUCCUGGCCGGUCAUUUCCCCAGCCCCGCCCCCUGCAUCUCUGCUAAUUGCCUUUUUACAUCUCACCGGUCUUCCUUGAGUCUUCAUGCAGAUAUGGGCAAGCAAGAACAAACACGGGCUUUUCUCCCACCUCCUUCUGUGUGCAAAAGGUAACACAAGGCACAUAACGUCCUGUAUCUUUUCCGUUUAUGGACACGCGAGCUCUCCAUGUUGGAACCCAGAAAGUUUCUCUUUCCGUUUGCACAGCUGUCUAAUGCUCUAUGCUUUUCAUGUUUCUCAUAUUUAACUAUUGAUCGGGGGGGGGGCACAUGUGCUGCAGUGUGCAUGCCGCAGUGCACAUUGUGGAGGGCAGAGGCCCACCUGUGGGAGCUGGUUCUCUCUUUCCACUGUGCUGUGCAUCUUGGGGUGGAGCUCAGGGCACCAGACCUGGCUGCAGGUGCUCUCAGCCGUUAAGCCUUCUCAUUAGGCCAUAAUGCUCUGCUUUAUGGUGUCGUAUCAUUUAUGUUUUGUUAUAUGUGGUCCAGAAGAUGACCUAGGAUAGCCAUAGGUAGCUUUGAAUGAGUGAAUUUAUUAAGCAUACAGCAAGUUAAAGUAAAAGAAUAAAUAGCAAAGUAUAGAUAGAUAGAUGCUAGAUAGAUAGAUAGAUAGACAGACAGACAGAUGAUAGAUAGAUAGAUAGAUAGAUAUAUAGAUAGAUAGAUAGAUAGACAGACAGACAGAUGAUAGAUAGACAGAUACAUAGAUACCAUCAAAUUGGGAAAUCAAAACAUUUAGCAAAAAUCAAUUGGGAAGCAAGGAUAUCAUCAAAUUGAAUGCUCAAGAUAUCCAGCAAAUUGGGUGCUCGACUUGCCAUCUGGGGAAGUUGAGGCAGUCAGCCUGCGUUCCUGACUGAGCUUUCAGCUGAGCUUCCCAAACAGCAGGAGCCUUUAGAUUGUGGUAACCUCUGUUGAAGACAGUUCACCUUCUAGCUGUUCCCAAGGGCACAGUGAUUCUACUCUUGGGAUGAGGGACACUAGGGGACGCUUUGAGACACAUGUAUAGGUCUGAACUGGGGGAGGACAGCAUCACUUGCAGAGCUGGCUUAGUGAGACAGCACAUGAUGGUUUGCCGGUGUAAUGUACCAAGUUAAUGGAUACCGCUACCUAGGACUGAGGACCGACCGGGACACAUGGCCCUGGCUCCAUCUCUGGAGUGAACUAACAACAAAUGGUGCAGAGGAAGCCAGAAGAAGGUGGCCAGAUUCUCUGGAACUGGAGUCACAGACGAUUGUGAGCUGCCAAAUGUGUGUACUUGUAACUGAAUCCUCUUCAAGAACAGGAAGUGCUCUUAACCACUGAACAAUCUCUCUUGCCCCUGGUUGUGAAUUUUUAUUAAGGAUUUUUAAUUAAUGGUCAUCAGUGCCAUUGAUAUGGCUUGCUUUUUUGUGCAUAGUAUCAUUGAGUUUUGGUAUAAAAAGGAAGAAUUUGAAGGUGUCUCCCCUGCUCUGAUGUGCUGUAUAAAGGUUCGUUAGCUUCUUCGCUGCAGCUCCGGGUGGUUGCUUUUCCAGUGGGUACAGGAACUCUCGGAGCCUUUCUGCUUCUUCCAUGCAGGCAGGCCUUCAUCACUUCUCUCCUGAGACCCGUUUUGUGCAUAUUGCUCUUUUGCUAUUUAGAAGUCUUGGCCUUUUCUUUUUGUGUUGUCUCAUGAAAGCCUAUUAUUAAUAUUUAUAAUUAA